GGGGUCUGAGCCAAAAGAGGGGCGGGGGGAGCACAGAGACACCCGUCAGAAGAACCCUCCACACAGAAAGAGCAAGUCCGCAAACCUGGCCCUCAAAAGCAACCCUCCACAAGGCUGCAUUCUCUAGUUUCUCAAAUUGUGCGCCGCAGAGUAUUUCCAAUUUCAAGUGCUUUGCAAAAGUCCUCUUAUGAACAUCUUUCUAAAAGGGGAGCCCGUUCGACAAAAGGCAAGCCUCACCUGCACCAAGGCAUCCUCCCCUAGCAAGGAGCAAGACAGCGUGGGGGUCGUGCCCAAGAACCCGGAGUCUGUCACUUCCUCUACCGUCUCCCCGAUGGACAGGACCAGGGUGGCGUUGACGAAGGAUACAAUGAUAAGUUCACUACACCUAUCUGUGGGUUGGUUCCGUAAAAUCCCUUCUACACCAUCAGUUGUUUUAUUAUUGCAGAAGACCUCUGACAAUGGAUGCUGAAAAUGCACAGCCAAGAGAGUGAUAAAUAGAACACUGGAGGCUACCGAGAGAGGGCGAAGGGAACUGGCCAAAAACCUUGGCCAAAUAUAGUAAAACCAACUCAGCUUCCUGGGAAUCUCAAGGCAAAGGCAGCCAGAAGGCCCUGAUUAAAAGGUAUGAUAAGCCCAGCAAGACAUGGUUGCUGCUCUCAAUGGUGUGGCACCUCAAAAACCCCUGUGGAACACCAGCCACCAUGAGACAGGAUUAAGAAAAACUGAAGACAAGAAAAAGUCUCCAGACAUGCCAUACCCACCCACCCCCAAAUAAAAUUUCUGUAACUCUCAUAACAAUACAAAGCAUUGAUGUGUGGUUUCCA
This is a long non-coding RNA of Anolis carolinensis (green anole), 824 nucleotides long. RefSeq lists it as uncharacterized. The transcript is spliced from 3 exons. Lineage: Eukaryota; Metazoa; Chordata; Lepidosauria; Squamata; Anolidae. The record is from RefSeq and is a predicted model, not a curated record.